UGAACGCUAGCGACAGGCCUAACACAUGCAAGUCGAGGGGCAGCACAAGGAGCAAUCUGAGGUGGCGACCGGCGCACGGGUGAGUAACACGUAUGCAACCUGCCUGUAAGCGGGGAAUAACCCGUUGAAAGACGGACUAAUACCGCAUAAUACUAAAUUACUGCAUGGUAAUUUAUUUAAACAUUUAUGGCUUACAGAUGGGCAUGCGCAUGAUUAGCUAGUUGGAGAGGUAACGGCUCCCCAAGGCAACGAUCAUUAGGGGUUCUGAGAGGAAGGUCCCCCACACUGGUACUGAGACACGGACCAGACUCCUACGGGAGGCAGCAGUGAGGAAUAUUGGUCAAUGGACGAGAGUCUGAACCAGCCAAGUCGCGUGCAGGAAGAAUGUUCCCUAUGGAUUGUAAACUGCUUUUGCAGGGGAAUAAAGUGCAUCACGUGUGAUGUUUUGUAUGUACUCUGCGAAUAAGGAUCGGCUAACUCCGUGCCAGCAGCCGC
RNAcentral lists this ribosomal RNA (495 nucleotides) under uncultured bacterium. RNAcentral's name for it is "bacterial SSU rRNA". It matches the Rfam family "Bacterial small subunit ribosomal RNA", at positions 30 to 518 of the family's 1533-position model. The record is from RNAcentral.